GCAAAAUUGAGGUGCAUUCUUUUGUAACAUUUGUCUUGUGUAUUAUUAUUUCACAUUAUCUUUUUUAGAAACAGGAAUGGAUGGAAUUAUUUUCUAAAAUUCUCAGUAUUCACAGGCUUUGUUUUUGGCAAAUCUUCGAAAACAUGAUUUGGAGAUUGUAAAAUAACAGUAAAAAAUACUGUUCUCAUCACAUUUUCCAUGCGUAUGAGUUGGCAUGGAGUGGAAUUUGUUUUAAUUAACUGAUUAAUUACAGUGUAGGGAGUUUUACAUUGAUAUUUAAAUGAUUUAAAUGAUACCUGUUGUACCUAAAUAUACCUUUCCCAUCAUCUAUAGUUUUAUUCGUAUAAUCCUAGGUAAUUUCUAGCACUGUAUUUUGCUUGAAAGCUGAGUUUAAAGUGGGAAAAACUUGAUCCUUUGAUGUUAAUACCAAGCUGUCUUUGGCCAAGGCUGUGAAAUUCUGUAACAUUGAUUCAAGAACAUUUGAAAGCCAGUGCACAGAGAUGUCCUAAUCUCCUGAACAUUCUAGUGUCCGGCUCAACUCUGGCUCCAAGAACAGAGUUCUACACAGCUUUUUCCCUGCAUCAAGAAAAUCUUUGUUCCAGUACUUAUCAAGUUUACCCUGGGAACAAUCAGCUUCUGAGUGACAGUCAAGUGGAGCAUCUGUGAACUCCCAGUUAUUCAGGUUUUAGUGUUUUUGUAUGAACAACUUUGUGACUGGUUCAGUCAAUAUUUUUUCUUGUGAAUUAGCAUACAUAUUGGGGAAGAUAUUUGAAUGUUAUUUGCUUAAAAGCAGUAGAUACAAAAAUAAAUACUAGUAUUAGCUUUUCUAAAUAAGUGUGGAUUUGUCAUAUGCUACCAUAAUUCUUUCCAUAAAAAGGUAAUAUGAAACAAUCUUAGACUUCUAACACCACAAUAUUAUGUUUCCUUUUGUAUCAUGAUUUGAAACACUGAGAUUAAAGUCUGUAGGAUUUAGAUUCAUAUGCUAUUAAUAUGUAAUUAAUGUACAUAAAAUAAAGGAACACCCAUUUUCCUAAUUAUUUUGUCAAAAUUUCCCCAUUUUUGUUUGUUUUGAAGACAAAUAAUUUAGGUUUUCUUCUUGACAGAUCUAAUUUUUUUUUUAAAGAUUUUUUAUUUAUUCAUGAGAGACAGGGAGAGAGAGAGAGGGCGAGAAAGAGAGAGAGGCAGAGGGAGAAGCAGGUUCCAUGCAGGGAGCCCGAUGUGGGAUUCGAUCCUGGGACUCCAGGAUUACUACCUGGGCGGAAGGCAGGUGCCAAACCGCUAAGCCACCCAGGGAUCCCCGACAGAUCUAAUUUUUAAAGAACUUUUGUUUCACCCAUUUGUCAUAAAGCCCAAUUUAUUAUUCCUUGAAUUUUUGGAUUUUUCUAUUUAAAAUACUGAGCUUUCAGUGAAAGAGAUGAAAUAUUUGUUUUUAACCCAACAGUAUCAGGAAUAUUAGGGAAAAAAUAACCGUUUUCACCAGAAUUGCCAUUUACUAGAAAUAGAAAUUAUCUAGGACAUUAAUGAAAUAUAUUGGAUCUUGUUUCUCAAGUAUUAAUUGAAAUUACAUCUUUAUGUUUUAUUAAAAAACAUACUUGUUGAAUAUUUCAGUAACUUGGUGUUUAUAUGUAAGGUUUAUAGUAAUUGCAAAGUAUUAGUCUGAAUGAUUAAUGGUCAUUAAUUAAUGUUUGGGGUUUUGUUGAUAAUUACAGCCUAGAUUCUGAAUGAGGAAAAGAUAUAUGUGUGAUUGAAAUAAGUGUGUGAUUGAAAAAAAAAUGUCUUAUGAAUGUGAUGAAAUUAUGUUUAAGCUCUUUUAAGAAAGGUUUGAAAUUUAGUGUCAAAUGGGACUCUCAGAAAUAAAAGGGAUACAUUAUUUUGCAAAAAUAGAGGAAAUUUCCUGGGGAGUACUGGGUAUUUAAAUGUUUUUUGUGUGUUGUUACAUUAUAAUAUCCAAUAACAUGUUAAAAUAUGUUCCUGAAAUAAUAAGAGGGUGGUAAUGAUUUGAAAAAUCAGACUUAACAUUUUCAAAAGUAAGUUAGUGAACACCCACAUAUCUAACUCCUAAAUUAAAUACUUGUAAAUAUUUUCCUGUGCUUACUUCCUACAUAGAUAUUUGUAGACAUGGACUUAUUUGGGGCCAGGGGUGGGGGAAGAGGUGGGAACUACUUCAAAGUAAGGAGCAAGUCCAUCACUGAAAUUGAUGGGUUUGUUUCAUCCUAAACAAAUGAUUAAAUAAAUUGAGAGUAAUUUCGUACUGGACAAGAGUAUUAUUUCCUUUCCUGUACCCUUCAGAGCUAAAUUUUUUAAAAAACAGGAAGCAAUUUUAGUGCGCUCAUUUUACAUAAUUGUUUUUCACUGUUGUGUAAAGUGGAGCCACGCAUAGCUUCCCAGUUGAAUAUGGACAAGUAAUUUAUAGAAUCUCACUCUGGAGAAAUAGUGAAGAAUUUAAUUAUUUUUAUAGUAUCUGAUAUUAAAUUGUUUUAAUAGUAUCUGAUUACAAUCUAUGUAUUAUAUAUUAGCUUUUUUUGGUCAAAACCACUGUCUUCUAAGUACAGAAAAAGCAUCUUGAAAUUUUGUUUUCUUGAUUACUGAAAAACAAUAAUUGAAGUUUGAAUCUUUAUAAGACACAACCAGAAUGCGUUACCUUGGGAAUAUUACUGUACUUCUUGUCUUUUUCCAUAUAACCAUAAUUUAGAUUUUAAAUACCUCCAGGGGUUCCUCUUCGUUUUUUCAUAUAGUUUUCCUUUUCAAUAAAAGAAGCUUAUAUUUUCUAGAUGGAAUAUACUGCAUUAAUCUAGUCAGAGUUUGUAGUACACAUUUUAAAUAAUUAUUUUUCAAGUAUAUUGUCUUAUUGUUUGAAUCACUCACUGUUAUCUUACCAACUCCUCCCCCCUCUGCAACAGUUACUAGAUUUUGUUGACUGUGUUUAUAUAAAAAUCUUGUUAGAAUUACUGUUUCUUUCUGAAUUAAUGAAAUGGAUUUUAAAAGAUGGUAUUCUGCUUAUACAUGUACAUAAAAUUUCAGUUCUAUUUAUAAAAUAUAAUCACCCAAAUUUCAUGUAAGGCACUUCCACCUCAAAGUUAAGACUAAUUAGUGAAGAAUUAAUUAGUGUACUUAGCAGGAAUACAUGAUUUUUAAAUUUUCAACUUAUUUUUUUAAAAAAUAUUGUCAAUAAGUGGUUUUUAUUAAUUAAAAACAAGGUUCCGGCAUUACUUCAAUAGUAAUAUGUGGACUUUACUUGAGUUGUAAUGUAAUGGACCUAGAGUUUCUUAAUGAUCUAUAUAAAUGUGUUCUUGGUAGUGUUGAAGACUUUGGAAUUGGUAUUUGUAUCUAAAAUUUGUUUCUAGCUCUGAAAUGAACAUUUCAGAUAUUUAAGUUAGGAAAUACAUGGAUAUGAGGUAGUGUCAAAACCUAAAGGAGUAGCUACAAUAAUAUGUUUUAUAUUUAUAUCUGUGACUGGAUAUUUUAAGACCUAUUCCCUAUGAGUUAUUUAUAUUUUUAUUUUUGUAUGCUUAUGUGAACAAUUUAUUUUCUGCAAAUUAUUGUUGUAUGCUUUGUCAGAAUAAUUACAGUUAAUUUUUCUUCAGGCUAUUUUCAGAUUAGAUAACAUUAAAUCUGUAUCAAAUGUAACACAUUGCUUAGAUUUAUAAAUGUUGCCUAGUGUUUUUAUGUAAUGAAAAAAGUAAGCGAUCUCACACAUAGUAAUACUCUUUUAAUUUCUCACCUUUUAAAGUGUUGGAGGCAGUAGUAACUUGCUCAGUGGUUACUUAGUCUUUAAUGCUAAUUUUUUAGAAUUGCUUAGAAUAUUUGCAUGUUGAUGGAGUGGGUAGAAUAUUUUUUGGGGGGGAGUAGAAUAUUUUAAACAGUAGGAACUAGCAGUUUAGCAAAGUGAACAUAAAAAUCGGAGUAAUUGUUUGCAAAAUGAUACUUUCUCAGUCAUACAGAAUUUCAUGUAUUCUGAGCCAUGUUAUUCAGAAUUGUACUAUAUCCCUUGUACCAGAAUGUAUUGAGGGGUCCUACUGUUUGCUCUUGUGCCCUUUCCUAAGGCAGAGAUACAGUAGUGGAACAACAAAAUCCCUGCUCAAGAUUAAACACCAGCAGCCAUGAACGUGCAUUCAGAUUGGAGGUUCUCAAACUUCAGUGUGCCUUGAGGCUCCUGGAGGGCUUAUUAAAAUAUCUCUGGGCCCCAUCCCACAACUUCUGAUUUCAGCUGGUCUCAGGUGUGGCUGAGUAAUGUACAUUUCUAACAAGUUCCCUGAUGAUCUGACAUUGGGCUUGGGGACUCCUCUUUGAGAAUUUCUGUUCUAAAAUAUUAAAAGAAUCACAGUAACAUUUUUGGUUGGUUGAUUUUUGGUGGUGGCAUAGGUGAUUGUCCUGGUACAUUAUAUGCUGCUUAGGAUCCCUGGCCAAUCAUUGAAACCAUUCAAAAACUUCCAGCUACUGCCAGUUGAUAAGUACUGCAAAAAGUCCAUUAUUUUUAAGUAGGCACUCUCAUGGCUAUUGAGUACUAAAUCUUUUGCAUAUAUGUAAUUAUUACCUUCAUUUGAACUAGGAUUUCAUUUUUGUGUCACAAGCCUAGUUAUUUCAAGUGAAUAUAGAAAAGUACAAUUUGAAAAUUUUAUAAAACUUUUGCACGUAACUGAUUUGCAACUACUUACACCAGCAUGAGAAAUGAAACAGUGUGAUAAUGUUUCAGUAUCAGUAUAUUUGAAGAUGCUUGGGACACUGGCUGGCUGUAGGACUCUUGCUGGACCUUGGGAUUGUGAGUUUGAGCCCCACGUUGGGUGUUGUGGAUAUUUAAGAAAAAAAAAAA
Molecule: long non-coding RNA, 4810 nt
Filed under: Canis lupus familiaris (dog)
Lineage: Eukaryota; Metazoa; Chordata; Mammalia; Carnivora; Canidae
Description: lncRNA (ENSCAFG00845023919.1)
Source: RNAcentral